GUAUUUUCAGAUCAUAUUGUUCGAUUAUAAUGUAUUUACAUAUCAGAUGCUCAUGUCAAUCAAGAAACAUUAUUCUGGAGCUGAUGAUGCUGAGGCGAUUUUUUUGAAUUUCCAGUCAAAUUUUUUAGGUCGUAAAGGAUAUUUGCCCCGUUGGCGCCUUUUUUAAACUCCAUUUUAAAAAAUAAAUACAGAAAAUAAAAGAAGCUACAAAUUUAUCAUUGAUUCAAGAAGCUAAAGAUUUAUUAUUGAUUCAAGAAGCUAAAGAUUUAAAAAUACAGAAAAUAAAAGAAAAGAUUUAUCAUUGAUUCAAGAAGCUAA
Molecule: long non-coding RNA, 318 nt
Organism: Gordionus sp. m RMFG-2023
Lineage: Eukaryota; Metazoa; Nematomorpha; Gordioida; Chordodea; Parachordodidae
Exons: 4
Source: RefSeq, a predicted model, not a curated record